CCUCCAAAAUCAAAACUGUCAUGAGAGGCAACAAAACGCAACCUUUCUGCACAAUUACUAAGAAAAACAAAUAAUACAAAGUAAAUUUGACAAGGCACAAAAUCAUCAUAUGGGCAAAGCCCAUAUCACAACUAAAUGCUGUAGAAUUUAUAGAUCUUGUUAUCAUCUCGUGUUCAAUUCCACAACUGUGAGCUUGGUUCCUUAACUGAAACUCAACAUGAAAUCCCUUACUAGCCCAAUAAUAAUGUCCAUGCAAAACUAUAUCCACAAGUGCUCCCUCCGAUACUCCCGCACAAUAACAGGGACACUUGUUGGUGGGAUCAUGCCAUAAUCGGUGACAAUCAUAGAGAUAUAUUCUAAAGGAGUGGCAUCAUACAUCAAAUUUAAAAGCUGAAGAUUUUCUUUAUUAGCCAGAUUAUCCACGUAAUUUACAUCCAUUCUUCCAGAAGCCUUUGCAAUGGCAUCUGGAUCACCUAGUUCAUUGGAGCAUAUUGAAUCCAGUUGAACCCUUUCAUGAAACUUAUAUGCUUCACAGCAUAUUAACACUGGAACACGGAAUGCAUGAGCAACCAUAGCAACACAUGCAGUUCCAACCCUCGAAUAAACAGUUCCAUUGGACAAUACUGAGGAAGCCCCAAGAAAUACUCUAGUGACUUCAUGCAUGAUAUAAGAAACUGCAUUUAUGUGAGUAUAUGUACAAUUCAGGCCCUUUGCCACCAGCCUACGAAGUAAAGCUUGGCCUUCAAGUUUAGGGCGUGAGUCCACUAUCACAACCCUGAACUGUUUCCCAAGCUCAUGGGCAUAUAACAGAAUCAUCUCAACAACACAUGAUGAUCCAUACGUAAGAAGAACAUCCCCGUCCCUGACUUUUGAAGCAGCAUGUCUAACUAUCACCUUGUCAGCAAGUACUAUCUUCUCAUUUAUGAAACGAUUGAUAUCUGAACAAAGGGAUUCUUUUGCUUCUGAUUCAGAAAGACUUAAAGGCAGCUUUGCAAUACGAUUCUUCAAAAACCUAAUUGCAUUUCCCAUACUCAUAGAAAGUGGUCGGCAUUCAAUCAAAAAGGAAACAUAACUACCAACUUUUGCCGUUAAAUCCCUGGUAAGAGAUUUUUCUGGUGGUGUGGAGUAGUCUUUAAUGACUUCCUGAAAUGCCUGUAGCAUUGCAAUACAACGAGCAUUACCUCCAGAGAUAUCUCCCGCCAAAUACUGUAAUCCAACCUUGUAAACAGCAGGAUGCAUUGGAUCAAGUAGGAAAAAUUUUGACUCAAGAUCAGGAAGCUGGCUUCCACGCUCAUACUGAGGCAAGUGUCGGAACAACUCAACCCUAUUCCUAGCUUCAGUUUGAUUGACCACUGCACGCUUUUUAGCCUUUUCCACUCGAUUUUUAUCAUCAAAUUGCAUGCGUGGAGGAGGGACUUCUUUCUUCCUCUCUUUCUCUGGUGUACGAUCUACUCCUUUCCUGUCAGAAGCUGCAACUGAUGUUGCAGCAGGAAGAGCAUCUUUCUUUCGUGAUGGUUGCUGCUUCACAGGUUUACUGGUCGCUGCUCCCUCAGAUGAGAUAGCAGGUUUACCGGUGGCUUCUCCUUUUGCAGCAGCUUUGGCAGCUCGUUGGGAUUCCUGCAAGGCACGUCUUUCAGCCUUUGUUGUUUUAGCUUUCAAUGGCUUUGAACUUGAUUGUGAUUCAGUUUGCAGCUCUGCACCAGCCACUCCACUUUUUUCAGGUACUUCAACAGGCUUUUUCACUUCAACUUCCAAAGUCUCCGAUGACUUUAUCGACGUCAAAUCGAAUCCACCACCAGGGAAACUCGAGGCGAACUUAGCAGAGUUGCUCCUGCGAAACCAACCAGGAGACGAUUCCUCCGAAAAUUCUCCAUCGCCGAUCCUACUUGAAGGCGAGGUCAGCGGCGGCGACGCUCCAAGCAUCGAAUCGGUAGGGUUGUAGCUGCCCACCACCGCCACACGGUCGCCGCCGGGGAUAGGUCGGCGGAAGGCCGAUGUCUCUGGGACAGGGAGUGGCGAAGUGGCGCGAUGAGCAAGGUUAUCAGAGAGGUGACGUGGCGGGGGGAUCAUAACUGGAGAUAAGGAGUUGCCCGCAGGAGAAUUGGAAAGCGGCGGCGAGUUAGAGUCAGGCGGCCCAGACUGAGUCCGAGCAGGCGGCGGUGGCUCAUUGGGAGUGAAGAAUCCGACCUGGCGAACCUUGGGAACGGCACGCCAACCUCUACGAGCUUCCAUGGAGCGUGAAUAUGAAUCACCAAAGCUUCAGUUGUUGUCGUUAUUGAUAAUACUGAUAACAGGAGAGGAGUCGAUAAGAGGCCAUUGAAAUGAAAACUAGAGCUUCAUGGUUAUGGAAUUGUAUUGAAUUUGGCAAACAAACGCAUCGUUUUGGGAGGCAAAACGAUUAGGGUUUUGUAGAAAGUUGGCCAAAAUAGAAAGGUGAAGAAUCAACGAGUUAGGCUUACGAUUCUAUCUGUGUCAAAGCACGCA
RNAcentral lists this unclassified non-coding RNA (2484 nucleotides) under Hevea brasiliensis (rubber tree). Lineage: Eukaryota; Viridiplantae; Streptophyta; Magnoliopsida; Malpighiales; Euphorbiaceae. The record is from RNAcentral.